Non-coding RNA from Vitis vinifera (wine grape), 154 nucleotides. The record is from Rfam. Lineage: Eukaryota; Viridiplantae; Streptophyta; Magnoliopsida; Vitales; Vitaceae.
AAUUCUUGACAAUGGAUAUCUAGGCUCUCUCAUUGAUAAAGAACGUCGUUAAAUGCAAUACUUGGUAUGAAUUGUAGAAUUUUGUGAAUUAUCAAGUCUUUAAACGCACGUUGCUCCCAAAGCCAUAAGGUUGGGCAUAUUUACCUUAGUGUCA